This 206-nucleotide ribosomal RNA is filed under the name uncultured bacterium. RNAcentral describes it as "partial 16S ribosomal RNA". It matches the Rfam family "Bacterial small subunit ribosomal RNA", at positions 568 to 774 of the family's 1533-position model. The record is from RNAcentral.
CGCGCAGGCGGUCGUUCAAGUCGCGUGUGAAAGCCCCCGGCUCAACUGGGGAGGGUCACGCGAUACUGAUCGACUCGAAGGCAGGAGAGGGUAGUGGAAUUCCCGGUGUAGUGGUGAAAUGCGUAGAUAUCGGGAGGAACACCAGUGGCGAAGGCGACUACCUGGCCUGUUCUUGACGCUGAGGCGCGAAAGCUAGGGAGCAAACG